This 83-nucleotide transfer RNA is filed under the name Clostridia bacterium. RNAcentral describes it as "tRNA-Leu". It matches the Rfam family "tRNA". From Rfam's summary of the family: Transfer RNA (tRNA) molecules are approximately 80 nucleotides in length. Their secondary structure includes four short double-helical elements and three loops (D, anti-codon, and T loops). Lineage: Bacteria; Bacillati; Bacillota; Clostridia. The record is from RNAcentral.
GCGGGCGUGGCGGAAUUGGCAGACGCGCCAGAUUUAGGAUCUGGUGAGCAUUCGUGCAGGUUCAAGUCCUGUCGCCCGUACCA